RNAcentral lists this antisense RNA (5067 nucleotides) under Pan troglodytes (chimpanzee). The stretch from base 207 to 387 matches the Rfam family "TTC28 antisense RNA 1 conserved region 3". The record is from RNAcentral. Lineage: Eukaryota; Metazoa; Chordata; Mammalia; Primates; Hominidae.
CUGCCGAAGAGCGUGCGGCUUCUACUGCGGCUGCGCAAGCUCGACGCGCGCACUCUUGUCUGCUUACGAGGGCUCCUCCCUUCAGCUUUGGUCCCUCGGGGCGUCUGGGCAGCCUACGCUUUCCGACUGGAAUCAGCCAUUUUACCAAGAAAGUUGGGUUUCUUUUACUGGCAAAUAGUACUUCAAGAGCACAGUCUUAUGUAAGUAAACACUGGGAUGCCGGAGCUCAGGCAUCCCAGACAGGAGGAAGUGUGUACUCACACCAGCCAGGAGGAAACAAGCCUGCCUGGGAGGACAGACGAUCAGCCCUGGCUGUCCCUCAGGAGCGGGGGUCCUCCAAGGCACACUGCCCACUGGGUCAAGGAGUGUCCAGGAGGAGUUAGAAGCAUGACCCAUCUGCCUGGCACCAGCACCUGGGGCUGCCAGGCAGCCACCCCUGCAGCUGUGUUGACAGGGCCUGGCAGAGGGACUGACCCACCUUUGGAAAAUGACACCAGCAAUAUCAGGAUGUGUCAACUGGAUUUAUGUUAAGAAAAUAGGAUUUUUGGUGUUCCUCUGUUUCCCAAAGUUUGAGACACUUUCAGACACUCUGCUUUGCGGUUGUGGCCGAUGUUACCCAUGGGUGGGACUUUUGCUUUGCUCUAGAUUUUUGUAACACCCUGGGGAGUUUCAGGGGCCAAUGCUGAGAGAAGACCACAGGCUGACACAUCAUGAGGUAUGUUGGUAAAACAGCCCCGGCUGGCCGAGAGGCCACUGAGGGAACAGGCCCAGGGUUUGGUUUGUACUCUGUGAGUCUUGGCCUGGCAGGGUCUCCUGCACAGCAGAGUCCUCUGAGUGGGACCCCAGGGGAAGCAGGUUGUUGCCUGGAGCUGAGAGGCAGCUCUGUAUUCAGGAGGGGUGCCUGCCUUCCCAUCUCCCCUGUGACCAGAUGUCACAGAAACAUUCUCUCUUUACUCCCUAGACCCUCUGGGCAGGUCCACUAAGAGUAUGUAUUCUAGAACAUGCAGGGCUUGAAGCUUCACAAGAUAUUCAGUGCACUCCUUACAGAUCCUGUCAAAUGUGGACCGGGUGGUGUCAUCGCACCACCAUCAUCCCCUUGUUACCCCUGAGAACACAGCUUCAGAGAGGGUAAGUAACCUAUCUCAGGCCACACAGCCAGGACAUGGAGUAGAUCCAUCCUAAGUCUUUCUACCACACACUCCUUUCUACAGUCAUGGGUUAAAUGAGGGUGCCAUGGAAUGGGUCAUCCAGUGUACACUGACAUCAGGAGGAGAUUCACAUUCAUACACUCACGGCAAAUGGUUCUGUUGCUCCCUGGUCCAAAGAUGAUCUUAAUAGUAGGAAAAACUCAUUUGGCAGAAGCAAGACUCAGCACACAGGCUCCCUCCCUGAGUCUUCUGUGGCUGGCCUUGCCCUGCCCUCCCCUCCCCAACCCCACUGGCAGAAUAAAGUCGGGGCUGUGAGGACUGAGCCCCAGGCCUUGACAGGCACCCGCAGCCGGCCGAACUCCCACCUGCCCAGUUGGAGGGGUGCGAGAAGGCCUUGCUGCUCUGCACCACCUUCAUGGCCUCCCCCAGGGCAGCACUGGCUUUCAGGCCGUUCAGCAGGGAUGAGUAGAAGGCAUGGAUGAACAUCUUAGAAGCAGCCACUGGCACAGGCCACAGAGACACGAGGACACACUGAGCGCCGGCAGCCAGGAAGGCCCUUGUCAGCGCGAUGACCCCGUCGGCUGUGACUUUGCUGUUGGACUCCUGGGAGGAGCCAAGCACCACCAGCUUCACAGGCAGCUGCAGGUCCAGGACGUCGGCGGCAGUGCCUAACUUACUGAGAAUCAUGCCUGCUGUGAUGAGCCCUUGGAAACCAUCAGGACUGGAUGGUAGGGGUCCUGAGAGGAUUGGGGGAGGAGGCCUUGAUAUGACAGAGUGGACAGAGGCUGUGGAACCCAGGACGGCCAGCCUGCUCCACAAUCCUCAUCCCCACAGACCUUCAUGUGUGGCUCCUAAAUAAGAGGAAACCCACUCCUGAUAAGUCAGGGGCUUUGAAAAGUGAUUUUGUUUAAAUGGUGCAAACAAGCAAGCCAAUCUUGGGGAGACAGGGCUAAACUAAGUCCUUUAAGAAGCUCUACAUACUGACAAGAUUCUAGUUCCCUUCCACCUUAUAUGCUGCAAAGUAAAAAGUAUCACUGAAUGAGAAAAUCAGCAUAAAGAAGCCCAAUAAUGUCUGCCUGAGUUUCCCCUAUGAUGACUUUUGGUACUUUUUGGGAAACAUUAAGUAUGAAGUUAUUUCAAAAUAAUUUUUUGGUGCCUCUGCUUGGUGAUGCCUUAAACUCUGGGUAAGAGAAACACCAGGUGCCUGUCAGGAGAUGGUCUUUUCCAGGUUUCUGGUUAAGCUACAAACAGCUAGCUGGCUGUUGUCAUCAAAAUAAAAGCUUUCUGAAGGUGGAGGCAUCUGAUACCCAGAGUGCUGCUAUCAGCCGGCACGGUGGGCCGCUGGGUGGCAGGAGCGUCGAGAAGGCCAGCUCGCUUCCUAUCCGGGAUUCAGAAUCAGCUAUGGAAACUUGAGAGACCUAGAGAAAAUAACUUCUUUCACUUUGAACUGAUUCUUUGCUCCAUAAGAAAAGUAUUAUCCAGCCACAAAAAUGGUCAAAAUUCAGAUCUACAAAAACCUGUCAGGCAGAAACUGACCCCACUUAGGCCACGCCAAUGAGCAAGUCAUCAAAGCAGCCAAGACAGGUCCUGUGGGGGCCACCCAUGCACAGGGCCCAGCCUCGGUUCCUAACCCCGCCUAUGCUUUCCGCCACCAUAAGGAGGCCCAUCUGGGUAAGACCUGUCCCGCCCGCCGUCGGGUAUUAGGGCAGAUGGGGUCUGAGGGCUCUGAGAGCAGCUGGCAGCUCAAGGACAUCCAGAGUUGGAGGAUGGAGCAAUGCAGGCCCUUGUGGUAAAGACAGUCCUGCAGCUGCGCAGGCAGGGAUGCUGCAAGUGGAGUGCCAGGCGGGUGCGGAGCCCUGUGGGACUGUGGAGGGGUCAGAGGGAAGCCAGGAUUUUGGGGUCUCUGAGAGUUUGGAGAAGGGGAAGAAGAUUAAAGCUUGUUUCAAAAGUUUCUAAUCAGGUGGGCAGGGCCAAGGGUGGCUGUGGGGUGAGACCCAUGACUCAGGGUGGCCCACUGUUACUCUCUUGAUUUUUGGGCGUUUUUUUCCAAAUUGAUUAUUCUUGCUGAAUGAGACCUGAGUCCUUGACUGUCCCCUUAAAGCCACCUGACUUGUUUUCAGUUCCACUGGCCUGUCGGGCUGUUUUCCACUCAACUCCACUCUUGCUUGUCUGCCCUCCCUGCCUGGGGCCCAGCCAGCAGUCAGCUCAAGGGCCAGAUGAAUUGGGUGGCUGUGCUCUGCCCACUGGGCAUCGUGUGGAUGGUCGGUGACCAGCCCCCUCAGGUGCUCAGCCAGGCCUCAAGCCUCGCUGUGUACCUCAGAGCAGCUCAGUACCCUGAUGUCACAGCAAAGAAACUUAGACAUGACACAAACUGUGGCUUCCCAAGGCAGCAAAGAAUGGCCACGGGUCAUGAGGGCCGUGCCCCGCUUUUGGACAGACCUACUCUAAAGUCACGCUACCUGCGUGCAAAUCAUAAAAUCAACACUUUUGAGGAGAUCACAGCUAUGCCUUAGUAACACAGCCCAGUCUGACCAGAUAAGACGGUGCCUCGUGACCCGAAAACAAGCCCCCGGCCCCCCACCGUGUGUGAGCCUUACCUUGGACUGCACGCUGAGGGAGCGGAUGGAAGGGACAGCAAGGAGGCCAAAGCGCUCAUAGAGGUACUCAUUGGAGGAGCUUCCCUUCAGGAGGGCGAAAGGAAUGAGGUAGAGCUCCCCCUCCAGAACCAGGAUGAGCUGCCGGUGCCGGCCCACGGGGCCGCUGGAGUGCAUCAGGCCCUAUGGAGCAAGCACGGAGAGGCUGACAUGGGUGGCCCAGCAGGCAGGGGUUUCAGGCACCAGGACAACCCUGAGCCCUAGCCUGGAUGACACAAGCACGAGCAGGUGAGGCCUGCGGGUGUGUGGGGCGCCAUGGGGUGUGGGGCGCCAUGGGGCAUGGGCCGAGUUGCAGCCCUGCAGGAGCGGCACCAACUGGCAUGCUCGCUUGUGGACUGGCAAGGGCUGGCCUGGCAGCAUCCAUCUGCCUCACAGUCCUGAGAAGGUUAGAGGACAGUUUCUUGAAGUUCACAAGAACCUGAAGUGGGUUGGAGACCGGUCUGUACCGCACAGGCACCCUGAGAAGGGGUGGGAAUGGCCCCUCUCAAAACAAGAUCUGUUUUCCAUUUCAAUGGACAAGAGGCUAGAAAAUCACAGUGAGGACGGGAGGUCUGGGGGCUGGCAUGACAGCCCCUGUAGAAGGGGAUGGGCUGGGUUCUAGGACCUUCCGUGACCUCCUCUGAGAAAGAGUGGCCCCUUGGCUCUGGGCUUGGGAGGUGCCAUCCCCACUUGUUCCCUCUGGGGAUGUCAGGGGACCCAAUGCAUGGAUGACUCCCAUCCCUCUUGAAAGGCCGAGCAUGAGGACUCGAGGCAGGGUGCGCACAGGGCCACAGCGGACACAGCCUCAUUCCUGUUCAUUGCAGAACAAGGCUAAAGGUGCGGGCAUCUUAAUGAGAGCAGCAGGCAACAAUCCUGGAAGCUGGGUCCACACAGACUGAGGUGAACAAAGAGGUGGCGUGGAAGCUGCUGCUGCAGCCCAGAGCCUGCCAAGAAGGUCCCAGGUCCACAGGGCCUGUGCAACACUGGGUGCCAGGGGUGGGGCUGGCCUGCCCCCCAACCCCAUCUGCUGAGGAGUGGCUGACAAGCGGACACCCACCAGGGUGCCACUCGCUUGUGCCUGGGGAAGCAAAUGUGCUCGCUUGACCCGUCUGAUGUGCUGCCAUGGGCACUUGACUGAGAGUGGCAGGGCACUAGGCUAACCCAAAGUGACACAUGCCUGGCGGGAUGUUCAGUCUCUGUAAACCCAUAUGGUUUUUUUUUUCUUUCUUUUAAAAAAAAUUUCUAGCUCCAUCUAGCGAAAGCAGAAAUAAAAAUUAUUAGGCCAA